RNAcentral lists this long non-coding RNA (1789 nucleotides) under Homo sapiens (human). RNAcentral's name for it is "HSALNT0387362". Lineage: Eukaryota; Metazoa; Chordata; Mammalia; Primates; Hominidae. The record is from RNAcentral.
CAGCCUUCUCCUCUCUUUAUCUGAUUAAAAUUCUGUAAAUGAUUUGUUUUCUUUGAAGAUGCGGAGUGGUGUCAGAGACUUGAUUUUUAAUGCCCAUGGGAGGUAGCUCACACAGGAAAGAAAGAAAUCAGAUGCUAGAGGUGAGAAUUCCAGUAACCAUGAACAGAAAGAACUUGGCACAGACUUCCCUGCCUCUCAAACACAGACAACCUGGGGCAUGCCUCUCCCAUUGUUGAGCUCCUGAAGAGUCGGAGUCAUGUCUCUGCUUCCCCAAAAUGCUGAAUGUCACAUCUUUCAUAAAGUAAGAGCACUGUAAGUAGACACUAACUUUUCGGGUUAUUUUGUCUCAAGAAUAAAAACACAAGGUAGAAAGAAAACAACGUACAUGUGUUUGAGAGUCUCCCAAUGAGAAUAGUAACCAGUUCUUCUCUAUUUCUCCUAAGAAAAAGGAAAGUGGACUCAACUGUAGUCCAAAUGACAGAGAUUAUAUAAUUUCUAAAUGGCAAAUUAGAAUAUUUCUUUCCUGAAAAUCUUAGCGGUUUUGAGUAGAUAUAGCUCAGGGUGCCUGCAUAAUCCAUAAAACAUUUGAGGGACCUAAACCUACCCCCAGUCCCUGCUGAAAACAGUGGUACUAGGGAGUCAUUUUGUAUCAUGUGAUCCUAGCUUCCUUGGCCAUAGCUGAUUGGACCCAGAGCUGAUUACCUGACUCCGGGGUAACCACUCCAUCAGUUGAUUCAUGAAAAAUGGGAUUAUUUCUUUGAUAAAUUUGAACUAAGAGAAAUAUAGGUUUCCCAGCAUUUGUGCAAGGGGUGGCCAUUUUUUGUCAUUUGGAUAAGGAUAAAUUAUCAGAGAAAUCCAAUAUGCAUGGAGAAGCAAAAGAAUGGAGAAAUUGAGAGAAAAAUUUACAAAAGAGAUUUUUUUCUGGGACUCAAAGACAAAAGACAAAUAGGAAGUGCUCUCAGUCGCUGACUGGUUUCCCAGUCCUGCUCUCAAUCCUCCGAGGUUCCCUGUGUUCUUGUCUGUUGGAACCUCUGUUCCCAUCAACAACCUCAUUUUCACUCCAGCUGCCUUGAGCAGGUUUCUAUUCCUUGCAAUAAUGGCGCCCUGGGGAAAACAACUCUGAAGAUGUCUACUGAUCUCAUCAGGUGAGUGGUCCCUUUGAUGGUGCUUUGGGUUUCAUAGAUGUUUUCUCAAGUAUUUUUUCUUUUUCACAUCUUGUUAUGAAAAAUAUUAAACAUGUAUAAAAGCAUGUACAAUAGGAUAAUACCCCCCACAUGCCUGUCUUCAGGCUUUAGAGAUCCUCAACUCCCUGCUCCUGGUGGUUCAUCUCCGCAGCCACCCCGCCCCGAUUCUGCACUGUUUGGAGCAAAUCCCAGACAUGCCAUUGCAUCUGUAAAGAUUUCAGUCUAAAACACAGAGAUUCUUUUUAAGAAAACAUAAUCAAAGUCCUUUCUUGGUCCAACUAACAUUAAUUUCUUCUACGGACAAUUUUGUGUUUCUCUUUUGUGCCAGAUGCUUUGCUAAAAGGAUUUGCAUGUUAUCUCCAUCAUGCAAAGAGAGAGUACCUACUAGCUAUGGUAAUGGACAGUGACAGAAAGGUCUACUAAACAUCCAGAGUCUUCCCAGUUAAAUGUCUGAAGCCAUCCACCAUUACUAAACAGAUACACAGAAGGUGCUGAGUCCAUGGCUUUUGAGGAAGAUGCCCACCUGGCACAGUCCACCUUCCAGUGACUGUACUCUUCCUCUACAUGACCCUGUCUACACCAAAUACAGAACUGCACAUAUGCAA